AAGGUCCUAACCAACUCCCGACCAAGUGAGGAGCACCAUGACAGCGCAAAGGUAAGCUCAGCAGGAACGACACUGAAGAAGAAGAAGAGCUUGCCAGCUCAGUCGAAACCUGCACCUCCGAAGAUAAUGUAGCUCGACAGCCGAACCUCUCCC
Molecule: ribosomal RNA, 153 nt
Filed under: Strombidium inclinatum
Lineage: Eukaryota; Ciliophora; Spirotrichea; Strombidiidae
Description: partial Archaeal large subunit ribosomal RNA
Source: RNAcentral